UCGUCGAGUGGCCGCUUCUAAAGCCGAA
Molecule: small RNA, 28 nt
Filed under: Bombyx mori (domestic silkworm)
Lineage: Eukaryota; Metazoa; Arthropoda; Insecta; Lepidoptera; Bombycidae
Description: ovarian small RNA-29238
Source: RNAcentral